GAUGAACGCUAGCGGCAGGCCUAACACAUGCAAGUCGCGGGGCAGCGCGGUGUAGCAAUACACUGGCGGCGACCGGCGCACGGGUGCGUAACGCGUAUGCAACCUGCCCACUCCCGGGGGAUAGCCCGCCGAAAGGCGGAUUAAUACCCCAUGGACCCUUAGCGCCGCAUGGCGCGGAGGGUAAAGCUCCGGCGGGAAUGGAUGGGCAUGCGUGCCAUUAGCUGGUUGGUAGGGUAACGGCUUACCAAGGCUACGAUGGCUAGGGGGUCUGGGAGGAUGAUCCCCCACACUGGUACUGAGACACGGACCAGACUCCUACGGGAGGCAGCAGUGAGGAAUAUUGGUCAAUGGACGCAAGUCUGAACCAGCCAUGCCGCGUGCAGGAUGACGGCCCUAUGGGUUGUAAACUGCUUUUCCACGGGAAGAACCCUCCGACGUGUCGGAGACUGACGGUACCGUGGGAAUAAGCAUCGGCUAACUCCGUG
Molecule: ribosomal RNA, 485 nt
Filed under: uncultured bacterium
Lineage: Bacteria
Description: bacterial SSU rRNA
Rfam family: Bacterial small subunit ribosomal RNA
Source: RNAcentral